Molecule: long non-coding RNA, 1068 nt
Filed under: Phasianus colchicus (ring-necked pheasant)
Lineage: Eukaryota; Metazoa; Chordata; Aves; Galliformes; Phasianidae
Description: lncRNA (ENSPCLG00000016436.1)
Source: RNAcentral
AAACUGUACUCUGCUUCUGCUUUUUUUUUUUUUUUUUCCUUUGCAAGUUUAUUUGUGUCAUUAACCUAUGCUAGGUCAUAGCAGCAUGACCAGGCAAGAAAAUGUCUCAGGACUAUUCAGUCCCCAAGGUGGAGGUGUAAAAAUAGGUGUAAGAAUGAUCACUCAUUCAGUGUUUGAUUUUUACAUCUAUGGCUGUUUUGGGAAAAGGACAGCAAGUAGAUUAAUGAGCCUAAGGCUAAGAUAAUUAACUAGCAAGAUUUCCAGGAAUAGUUUACAGAAAAGUGAGAAGCCAUGUAGAAUGACUGAGAAAGGGGUCUACUGGGUGAAAUAAAUCUUGUCAUCUUUCAGAUUGGAAGAGAGAGGGAAAAAAAACUCUUUUUCUCUAGUGUUGGGUGGAGAAAAGCAAAUAAUUUUGAGGCUUUCAAAAGCAGGGCAGAGUAAAAAAAAAUGUUUUUUUUUCUUUUUUUGUUAGUUUUUCUUGUUUUCUUAUUCUUGAAGGCUUUGGGAGAAGAGUGAAGGAAGGCAAGCUAAGUUUGUUUGGAAUAGCUGUGAGGCAAAGAAAGGAAAGAAAGGAGACUUCAAGCAAGUUUUGCUUGGAAACAAUCAAAGGAGGUCUGAGAACUUCGGGUUCUGCUACUUCUGCCUCUCAGGACUUCCAGUCUGCAGGCUGUGCAGCAGAGAGUUGGGAAGUUUUGUGUUCCAAAGUAGACAAAAGUGCAUCUCACUAUUUGCUAUCCCAUACCAUCUACCUGCAGAUGCAGGGACAACGUGAUCUCCUUCACAAAUCCCAAGACAAUGGUGAAAUUUUAAACUGAAUUAAUCAGAUUUUCUAUAGCACCGGCUACACAAAUCUUGGUGCUCAACAUAUGCUUGGAUAUCCUUCAUGCACUGUGAAGGACAGACUGUUCAAAGCCACUUUCUGUUGACAAGGAAUGAAAUAGUGACAUAGAAGGGAGGCAGAUACACAAAGUAUUGAACUGUGCUCUGACACUGUGCAAAUGAAACAGUAUUUGAUCUUCUAAAGUUGUUUGUAUCAAAGACAGUGAAUAAAACUGGGCUGAUAUCACA